This 538-nucleotide ribosomal RNA is filed under the name Circinaria thorstenii. Its description in RNAcentral is "Circinaria sp. HW-2021a partial large subunit ribosomal RNA". It matches the Rfam family "Eukaryotic large subunit ribosomal RNA", at positions 103 to 657 of the family's 3401-position model. The record is from RNAcentral. Lineage: Eukaryota; Fungi; Ascomycota; Lecanoromycetes; Pertusariales; Megasporaceae.
AACAGCUCAAAUUUGAAAUCUGGCCCCCCGGGCCCGAGUUGUAAUUUGGAGAGGGGAUUUCGGAGGCGGCGCCGGCCUAAGUUCCUUGGAACAGGGCGUCAUAGAGGGUGAGAAUCCCGUCUGUGGCCGGCGGUCAAUUUCAGGUGAAACCCCUUCGACGAGUCGAGUUGUUUGGGAAUGCAGCUCAAAAUGGGUGGUAAAUUUCAUCUAAAGCUAAAUACCGGCCAGAGACCGAUAGCGCACAAGUAGAGUGAUCGAAAGAUGAAAAGCACUUUGGAAAGAGAGUUAAAAAGUACGUGAAAUUGUUGAAAGGGAAGCGCUUGCAACCAGACUUGCUCGCGGGUGAUCAACCCCCCUUCGCGGGGGGUGCACUCGCCCGCGAUCAGGCCAGCAUCGGUCUCGACGGGCGGAUAAAGGCCCCGGGAAUGUAGCUCCCUUCGGGGAGUGUUAUAGCCUGGAGUACCAUGCGCCCAGUCGGGACCGAGGACCGCGCUUCGGCUAGGAUGCUGGCGUAAUGGUUGUCAGCGACCCGUCUUGA